UCCCUCCUUCUGUCCCCACAG
Molecule: microRNA, 21 nt
Filed under: Homo sapiens (human)
Lineage: Eukaryota; Metazoa; Chordata; Mammalia; Primates; Hominidae
Description: hsa-miR-4667-3p
Source: miRBase by way of RNAcentral